This 503-nucleotide ribosomal RNA is filed under the name uncultured bacterium. RNAcentral's name for it is "bacterial SSU rRNA". It matches the Rfam family "Bacterial small subunit ribosomal RNA", at positions 29 to 524 of the family's 1533-position model. The record is from RNAcentral.
AUUGAACGCUGGCGGCGUGCCUAACACAUGCAAGUCGAGCGGUAACAGGUGUAGCAAUACAUGCUGACGAGCGGCGGACGGGUGAGUAACGCUUGGGAAUCUGCCUAUUAGUGGGGGACAACCCGGGGAAACUCGGGCUAAUACCGCAUACGCUCUACGGAGGAAAGCCGGGGACCGCAAGGCCUGGCGCUAAUAGAUGAGCCCAAGUCGGAUUAGCUAGUUGGUAGGGUAAUGGCCUACCAAGGCGACGAUCCGUAACUGGUCUGAGAGGACGACCAGUCACACCGGAACUGAGACACGGUCCGGACUCCUACGGGAGGCAGCAGUGGGGAAUAUUGGACAAUGGGCGAAAGCCUGAUCCAGCGACGCCGCGUGGGUGAAGAAGGCCUGCGGGUUGUAAAGCCCUUUCAGUGGGGAAGAAAAGCCUCGACCUAACACGUCGGGGUCUUGACGUAACCCAUAGAAGAAGCACCGGCUAACUCUGUGCCAGCCGCCGCCGUAAU